CCCCUGUGAACAUACCUUAAUGUUGCCUCGGCGGAUCAGCCCGCGCCCCGUAAAACGGGACGGCCCGCCAGAGGACCCAAACUCUAAUGUUUCUUAUUGUAACUUCUGAGUAAAACAAACAAAUAAAUCAAAACUUUCAACAACGGAUCUCUUGGUUCUGGCAUCGAUGAAGAACGCAGCAAAAUGCGAUAAGUAAUGUGAAUUGCAGAAUUCAGUGAAUCAUCGAAUCUUUGAACGCACAUUGCGCCCGCUGGUAUUCCGGCGGGCAUGCCUGUUCGAGCGUCAUUUCAACCCUCAAGCCCCCGGGUUUGGUGUUGGGGAUCGGCUCUGCCCUUCUGGGCGGUGCCGCCCCCGAAAUACAUUGGCGGUCUCGCUGCAGCCUCCAUUGCGUAGUAGCUAACACCUCGCAACUGGAACGCGGCGCGGCCAUGCCGUAAAACCCCAACUUCUGAAUGUUGACCUCGGAUCAGGUAGGAAUACCCGCUGAACUUAA
Molecule: ribosomal RNA, 493 nt
Filed under: Fusarium sp. HT
Lineage: Eukaryota; Fungi; Ascomycota; Sordariomycetes; Hypocreales; Nectriaceae
Description: eukaryotic LSU rRNA
Rfam family: 5.8S ribosomal RNA (bases 132-285)
Source: RNAcentral